CAUCCGAGCCUUACCAUGCAGUCGAACGGCAGCACGGACUUCGGUCUGGUGGCGAGUGGCGAACGGGUGAGUAAUGUAUCGGAACGUGCCCAGUAGCGGGGGAUAACUACGCGAAAGCGUAGCUAAUACCGCAUACGCCCUACGGGGGAAAGCAGGGGAUCGCAAGACCUUGCACUAUUGGAGCGGCCGAUAUCGGAUUAGCUAGUUGGUGGGGUAACGGCUCACCAAGGCGACGAUCCGUAGCUGGUUUGAGAGGACGACCAGCCACACUGGGACUGAGACACGGCCCAGACUCCUACGGGAGGCAGCAGUGGGGAAUUUUGGACAAUGGGGGAAACCCUGAUCCAGCCAUCCCGCGUGUGCGAUGAAGGCCUUCGGGUUGUAAAGCACUUUUGGCAGGAAAGAAACGUCAUGGGUUAAUACCCCGUGAAACUGACGGUACCUGCAGAAUAAGCACCGGCUAACUACGUGCCAGCAGCCGCGGUAAUACGUAGGGUGCAAGCGUUAAUCGGAAUUACUGGGCGUAAAGCGUGCGCAGGCGGUUCGGAAAGAAAGAUGUGAAAUCCCAGAGCUUAACUUUGGAACUGCAUUUUUAACUACCGGGCUAGAGUGUGUCAGAGGGAGGUGGAAUUCCGCGUGUAGCAGUGAAAUGCGUAGAUAUGCGGAGGAACACCGAUGGCGAAGGCAGCCUCCUGGGAUAACACUGACGCUCAUGCACGAAAGCGUGGGGAGCAACAGGAUUAGAUACCCUGGUAGUCCACGCCCUAAACGAUGUCAACUAGCUGUUGGGGCCUUCGGGCCUUGGUAGCGCAGCUAACGCGUGAAGUUGACCGCCUGGGGAGUACGGUCGCAAGAUUAAAACUCAAAGGAAUUGACGGGGACCCGCACAAGCGGUGGAUGAUGUGGAUUAAUUCGAUGCAACGCGAAAACCUUACCUACCCUUGACAUGUCUGGAAUGCCGAAGAGAU
RNAcentral lists this ribosomal RNA (968 nucleotides) under Achromobacter xylosoxidans. RNAcentral's name for it is "bacterial SSU rRNA". It matches the Rfam family "Bacterial small subunit ribosomal RNA", at positions 36 to 1007 of the family's 1533-position model. Lineage: Bacteria; Pseudomonadati; Pseudomonadota; Betaproteobacteria; Burkholderiales; Alcaligenaceae. The record is from RNAcentral.